UCAAGUUGCAUAUUAGUCAUGAAAAAAAGAAGCUUAAACUCAAAAGAAGGUAACUAGUACGGCAAUGAGGGUCUGGCUCAGGACAACGCUUUAUACAGACAUUAGUUACAAAGUAAUUUCAAGCUAACAUCCAAAGAAUAGUAAUUAGUACAUAAUAAUGGCACAUUACAGGGUUUACGUUAUAUUUAGAAGGUUGGUGGGAAAGAAAAGACAACAAAAAUGAAAGGAUUCUCUUCUUUCCAAGAACGAGAACUUUCAAGUAUUUAGGAGCCAAAGUGCACCAGGAAAGCUUCUAAAUGACGCUUCUUGAACCCAAGUGGCGCAAGAACCUUGAAACACUAUAUAUUUUGACCCUAUCAAUUGGUAAUUCCAUAAUUAGAGCUCAACAAUCAUAAAUUUCCUUCAAAACGCUAGCCGAAAUGAUACAACAUGACAACUGAACUAUAGAAAAAGAAAACACAUUAAUAGAAUAAUGAGAAAAACAACUAUAGGCAGAAGCUUUCUUCACACAGUUGAGCUAUUAAAGCUUCUAUAAGCGUCAUAGUCAGCCAAAGAUGCACAUUUAAAACUAUGAGUAAAUAUAUUUGUUCACAUCCUUUUAUUGCUCUUAGUAGUUGUCCUGUGAAGAUUAAACUUAAGUGUGUGUUAUUGUUUUUGAAAAUUAGUACUGUAAACUUAAACUAAGUGUUAGACCAAUCACACAUCUCCAGUGGCAUCAUAAGAAUUUUUCUACAGUCAUUAAAUCUAUAAUUCCCAAGGAAAGUAAAUAGUAGUCUCAAGACCAUAGAAAUUAUGUUCCGGGAUACACUGGAAAGUGCUUAUUUUCAUUUUAAACUCAAUCUGUACAAGA
RNAcentral lists this long non-coding RNA (850 nucleotides) under Capsicum annuum. RNAcentral's name for it is "long non-coding RNA (CANN_LNC016843)". The record is from RNAcentral. Lineage: Eukaryota; Viridiplantae; Streptophyta; Magnoliopsida; Solanales; Solanaceae.